Molecule: non-coding RNA, 21 nt
Filed under: Caenorhabditis elegans
Lineage: Eukaryota; Metazoa; Nematoda; Chromadorea; Rhabditida; Rhabditidae
Source: RNAcentral
UAAAUACUUAAAAAAAAAUUU